This 2232-nucleotide long non-coding RNA is filed under the name Sorghum bicolor (sorghum). Its description in RNAcentral is "long non-coding RNA (SBIC_LNC018368)". Lineage: Eukaryota; Viridiplantae; Streptophyta; Magnoliopsida; Poales; Poaceae. The record is from RNAcentral.
ACAACAUAGGCCUAAUACCACCUUAACCCUAAAUAUAAAAGGUGAAUGACAUCCUCUCAUAGCCUCACAUCCUCACAUUUUUUAAAAUAACGACAUCUUGUUUUUUAAAAAAUAUUUUUUUUCUAUUUUUCUAUUCUUUUUUUAUGCUUGUGUAAAUUUUCGGUUAGUUCGGUCGGAAUCGGAACCGAACCGAACUAACCGAAACCGAUUUUACUCGGUUCCAAGAUUUGUGAAGAACCGAUCGGUUCCUAUUUGUAGAGAACCGAAUUUAUGUCAAAAACUGAAGAACCGAACCGACGAACCGAACGCUCAGGCUGAGAUGCAGGUGCUGCAGUAGUUCUCGGGCAUCAACAGCGUGCUAUACUACACGUCGCAGAUCCUGGACCAGGCCGGCGUCAGCGUGCUGCUAGCGAGCCUGGGGCUGAGCGCCGACGCGGGUGCGGGGCUCUGCAUCGCCAUCUGCUCGCUCGUCUCGUGAAUACGUCGCACGAGAGAACGAGUCCGAUAGUUGAAUUGGUGUCGUGUAUAGUAUAGAAGGGCAGUAUAGGCAUUAUUAGAAAAUACAUUUAUUUGAGAUAUAAGAAAAAUGGUUAAAUGAUGCAAAUUCUCAUUAUAACUUAUGGUAAUUGAUUGGAGUCUUAUUAGGGAGAAGUAAACGAUUGGAGUCCUAUUUGAGAGAAGCUAGAAGUCUCAUAAUAGCCAUUUUCUCGCCGUAUAAGGGCUUUUUAGCUUUGUACUGUAAUAAUUUACCUUCUAGUUCUUUUGUUUGUUUUGGUCCAUAUUACGGUGUUGUCAACAGGUUGCUCAAGGAGUGACGUGUUAGAGUUGUUUUUUGAGGUCAUGUUCGAUGUUUGUAUAAAUUGAAAGGCAAUGUUUCCACCACUUACGAUACAAUGACACGUGGAGAGUUAGCACAAACAAAACAAAAAUAUGCUUGCGGAUAAUGACGGAAAUGAUAAACCGAAAUCUAUAUACUUUUGUAAAGAAAAUGGGUGGUACGGAAUAAAAUAGAUAGAAUGUAAUGGAAAAGGAGGCACAAAUGUUGGGUUACGGGAGGAUGAUGUGAUGUGUGACAAUUAAAUUGAUUGGCAAACAAACAAAAUGUGUAGUAGGCGACCGAAGAGUUGAUAAAGAAAAAUGGACUAUGUAUAUCUAAAAUUAGAAUAAAAAAACAAAAGUACACUUGGGGAAAAUAGAUGAGGCUUGACACUUUUGUUAGAAAGAGGGGGCUCUAAUGUGGAAUGAACAAAAUAGAUAAUAUGAUGAGUCGAUGGAACAUUCAUAUUUAUGGGAUAACCAUUCCUAUUUUUCAGGAAAAAAAAGUAAGAGACAUAACACAAAAACUAGAUACUUUGUUAGAAAGAGCCUGAAUACGGUCAAACAUGGUAUGGAGUAAAACGGAAAAUAAGACGUGUAACGGAUAAUCACAUAUCCAUUCCGGCCCACCCUUAUUAGUGGAUUAGCCAUUCAUACUUUCUUUUAGCAAAACUAACACUCACUAAAGUGAUUUGGUAGUUUCCAGCACUCUUUUUUUGGCCAACCGAUAAAGGCGAUAAGUAAUUAGGAAAUUUGGCUUGAGCUUUGUCAAAUUAGAAUUUAGAGAUUAAAGUUCAAGAGUAAAGUGAUUAGAUCUUACAGGAGGAGAAGACUAUAGGAUAGACUUGCUCACACAUAUAGUGGUGGUUGUAGGGAUUGUGGUGGUGGAGCAUAGCGACUUGGGGUGAAGGAUGGAGCGGUAGUGGGAGGUGGCCGUUGAUGGUGGGUAUAUGUGAUGGUUGGUGGUGAGUAGGGUAAACAAAAAAGACACGCGUGAGAGAGAACCAAAAAAGAAAAAAAAAAGAAAAAACAUAAGGUAAUCAGAAUAGCAAAUGCAUCAAAUGUUGUUGCUGCGACUAGUAGUAUGGAAUUGUAUUAGUCUAUUGUCUAGUAGAUCAGGCAGGGGCGGAUGUAUUUUUGGUGCAUGGGGGUACAACUGUGUCCACAAAAUUUGUGUCCAAAUACUAAGUAUGCACAACCAAAAUUUUCAACUUCUUCUAGUAAUGUGGGCUUCUCCUAGUGUUUUAGCAUUCAAAAUUUAAUAUAAAUUUUUCCUAGUAAAUGUCUCCUAGUAAGAAUUCCCUAGUGCUAUGACUAGUGUUAGUGUUUUGUUACUAAUUAGAAACACUAGGAGAACUCCACCAAUAUGGUAGUGAUGUAUACAUAUAAUACAUUAUAUAUAGACACCGGCGGCCC